Molecule: transfer RNA, 75 nt
Filed under: Oceanobacillus arenosus
Lineage: Bacteria; Bacillati; Bacillota; Bacilli; Caryophanales; Bacillaceae
Description: tRNA-Val
Rfam family: tRNA
About the family: Transfer RNA (tRNA) molecules are approximately 80 nucleotides in length. Their secondary structure includes four short double-helical elements and three loops (D, anti-codon, and T loops).
Source: RNAcentral
GAUCUGAUAGUUCAGCGGGAGAAUACUUCCUUGACAGGGAAGGGGUCGGGGGUUCGAAUCCCUCUCAGAUCAUCA